CGUGCUGGUGCACCGAACUGCUUUCCCCACUUUCAAUCAAUGAAAUGCUCCAUGUGCUAGCGUUGGAUGCAAAAUGGUGGGUUCCUGUGUUGCAUACCUAACGAGAUGGAAAUUCGUCCCUUCGGUUGUCCCUUCCAUCCGUGCAUCCUCACGGGUGCUCGGUUGGACUAGAUAGAGGAGCUCGUGCUCCACGGACAUCGCACGCGAUCGUUCCGUUGGACCUCGAGCUCCCUCUUGUCCUCUCGGAUGCGGAAAGUUCCUCCCGGGCGUGGGUCAUCGGCCCUCGUUCCCGAAAGCUGAAGCGUGGAACGACGCUUCGCACCGGAAUGACGCUCUUGCCUUGCCCUUGAUCACGUGGAGCCCUCGGGCCACCACAAGGAUCAUGCUCGGCGGACGUCGUGAAGGAAUGC
RNAcentral lists this unclassified non-coding RNA (410 nucleotides) under Harmogia densifolia. RNAcentral's name for it is "partial external transcribed spacer". The record is from RNAcentral. Lineage: Eukaryota; Viridiplantae; Streptophyta; Magnoliopsida; Myrtales; Myrtaceae.